GCGUGCCUAAUACAUGCAAGUCGAACGAACUCUGGUAUUGAUUGGUGCUUGCAUCAUGAUUUACAUUUGAGUGAGUGGCGAACUGGUGAGUAACACGUGGGAAACCUGCCCAGAAGCGGGGGAUAACACCUGGAAACAGAUGCUAAUACCGCAUAACAACUUGGACCGCAUGGUCCGAGUUUGAAAGAUGGCUUCGGCUAUCACUUUUGGAUGGUCCCGCGGCGUAUUAGCUAGAUGGUGGGGUAACGGCUCACCAUGGCAAUGAUACGUAGCCGACCUGAGAGGGUAAUCGGCCACAUUGGGACUGAGACACGGCCCAAACUCCUACGGGAGGCAGCAGUAGGGAAUCUUCCACAAUGGACGAAAGUCUGAUGGAGCAACGCCGCGUGAGUGAAGAAGGGUUUCGGCUCGUAAAACUCUGUUGUUAAAGAAGAACAUAUCUGAGAGUAACUGUUCAGGUAUUGACGGUAUUUAACCAGAAAGCCACGGCUAACUACGUGCCAGCAGCCGCGGUAAUACGUAGGUGGCAAGCGUUGUCCGGAUUUAUUGGGCGUAAAGCGAGCGCAGGCGGUUUUUUAAGUCUGAUGUGAAAGCCUUCGGCUCAACCGAAGAAGUGCAUCGGAAACUGGGAAACUUGAGUGCAGAAGAGGUCCAUGUGUAGCGGUGAAAUGCGUAGAUAUAUGGAAGAACACCAGUGGCGAAGGCGGCUGUCUGGUCUGUAACUGACGCUGAGGCUCGAAAGUAUGGGUAGCAAACAGGAUUAGAUACCCUGGUAGUCCAAAGUGUUGGAGGGUUUCCGCCCUUCAGUGCUGCAGCUAACGCAUUAAGCAUUCCGCCUGGGGAGUACGGCCGCAAGGCUGAAACUCAAAGGAAUUGACGGGGGCCCGCACAAGCGGUGGAGCAUGUGGUUUAAUUCGAAGCUACGCGAAGAACCUUACCAGGUCUUGACAUACUAUGCAAAUCUAAGAGAUUAGACGUUCCCUUCGGGGACAUGGAUACAGGUGGUGCAUGGUUGUCGUCAGCUCGUGUCGUGAGAUGUUGGGUUAAGUCCCGCAACGAGCGCAACCCUUAUUAUCAGUUGCCAGCAUUAAGUUGGGCACUCUGGUGAGACUGCCGGUGACAAACCGGAGGAAGGUGGGGAUGACGUCAAAUCAUCAUGCCCCUUAUGACCUGGGCUACACACGUGCUACAAUGGAUGGUACAACGAGUUGCGAACUCGCGAGAGUAAGCUAAUCUCUUAAAGCCAUUCU
This 1250-nucleotide ribosomal RNA is filed under the name Lactiplantibacillus pentosus. RNAcentral describes it as "bacterial SSU rRNA". It matches the Rfam family "Bacterial small subunit ribosomal RNA", at positions 42 to 1288 of the family's 1533-position model. The record is from RNAcentral. Lineage: Bacteria; Bacillati; Bacillota; Bacilli; Lactobacillales; Lactobacillaceae.